RNAcentral lists this microRNA precursor (56 nucleotides) under Panagrellus redivivus. RNAcentral's name for it is "microRNA prd-mir-7903 precursor". The record is from miRBase by way of RNAcentral. Lineage: Eukaryota; Metazoa; Nematoda; Chromadorea; Rhabditida; Panagrolaimidae.
AAUGAUGUUUGUGUGCGAAUGGUAUGUGGAGUGUCCAUUCGCACACAUACAUCACC